This 494-nucleotide ribosomal RNA is filed under the name uncultured bacterium. RNAcentral describes it as "partial 16S ribosomal RNA". The record is from RNAcentral.
CACGUAGUUAGCCGGGGCUUUUCUUGAGGUACCGUCAUUAUCUUCCCUCAUAAAAGAGCUUUACGACCCGAAGGCCUUCUUCGCUCACGCGGCGUCGCUGCAUCAGGGUUUCCCCCAUUGUGCAAUAUUCCCCACUGCUGCCUCCCGUAGGAGUUUGGACCGUGUCUCAGUUCCAAUGUGGCCGGUCACCCUCUCAGGCCGGCUACUGAUCGUCGCCUUGGUGGGCCGUUACCUCACCAACUAGCUAAUCAGCCGCGAGUCCAUCUUUGACCGAAUUUCUUUGACUAAUUGAUCAUGUGACCAGUUAGUGUCAUUUGGUAUUAAUCCCAGUUUCCCGAGGCUAUCCCAAUGUCAAAGGCAGGUUACUCACGUGUUACUCACCCGUCGCCGCUAAUCCAUUCAUCUUCACCCGAAGGUUCUGUCGAAUUUCAUCGCUCGACUUGCAUGUGUUAAGCGCGCCGCCAGCGUCGUCCUGAGCCAGAUCGAAACUACUA